This 76-nucleotide non-coding RNA is filed under the name Lachnospira pectinoschiza. RNAcentral describes it as "GEMM cis-regulatory element". It matches the Rfam family "c-di-GMP-I riboswitch aptamer". Rfam says of the family: GEMM was predicted in a large-scale screen for bacterial structured RNA regulatory elements. Genes associated with GEMM are involved in a diverse array of functions, including chemotaxis regulation, signal transduction, secretion and chitin. The record is from RNAcentral. Lineage: Bacteria; Bacillati; Bacillota; Clostridia; Lachnospirales; Lachnospiraceae.
AACUUAAUACGGCAAAAUAAGAGAAAUCUUAUGACGCAAAGCUAUAGGGACUGUAAAAUGUCAGCCAGUUGCCUUA